UGUGUGGGGAUGAAUAUUGUUAACCUUUGUGUAUUGGUAGUUAUUUUGGCCUGCAUAUGGUAUAGCUACUGCAUUAUUGGGAUAAGCCGCUUGGCCUAGAGAUCAGUUGGAGAUGGGGAAUGUAAAUUCGGGAUCAACAACUCUGCACCAAAAGCAGCUAGAUGGCAUACAGCUAGAUGGCAUACUGCUAGACGAUGAGCUCUCGAUCGCUACAAAGUGCAUUCAAGAUCGUCAUUCUCAGUUGAUAAAAAAGCUUCUGUGUUCACUUUUCGAACACCUCGACUCGAUUCACACAGCCCAGGAAUUUCUGCUUUCCCAACCGAUGCAUUCUUUGAUAACUCACAAAGAGCGUACACACAUUGUACAUGCUCAGUCUUCUCAAGAAUUGCUGGAAGUUUGCUCUGGAAAGUUCAGGUGGUACGAUAGCAUGGCACUGGAGGAGCUAUUUGAGUUCAUUCAAAGAAAUGAAUUAGAAAUGAAGAUGAAGCAUCUAAAAGAUGAAAUUCUUCUGGUGGUUCGCCAGUUUUUUGAGGAACAUGGUCGAAUCAUCAAGGAUCCCUCGAGUGGUUGCACUAUAGUUAUGGUGGACUCUUACUUAAGACAGAGUGAUUCUGAUGAGUGUAUGAUGUACAAGCUCUACCAUUUGGCAUCAGGUGCCUUAGCCCUGAAGAAUGAUAGUGCGCUACAACUUCAAGACACACAGCUCAAGAAAGAUUUGACACCACCAAAUGAUUCCUGCAUUGGUAAUGAUCAUGUUGGAAAGCUGCCGACGAGAAUCCAGCACAAGACAAGUCUGACCAAGAGUAGGCGUUCUGAUAGGAGUUCGACAGGAGACUCACUCUCAGAUGUUGAUAUUGACGAACUAACCUCUACAUAAUUCCAUUACAUGAUUGUAUAAUACUUUCUAUAUGCUGGGUGUCCAACUGUAUAUGUAUAUAUGUGUGUCAUAAACGAUAUGAAAAUAUGUAUCAAGCAAA
Halichondria panicea is the source of this 977-nucleotide long non-coding RNA. RefSeq lists it as uncharacterized. The transcript is spliced from 2 exons. Lineage: Eukaryota; Metazoa; Porifera; Demospongiae; Suberitida; Halichondriidae. The record is from RefSeq and is a predicted model, not a curated record.